AUUUUGGCAAUUUUAAGAAGGCAGAACCCUGAUAGGAUAAGGGUUCUGUGAAAUUUGUCGUGUACAGAGCUUUAAGUUAUGAAAUGCAGUUUGGUGAAUGGCUACGUGAAGAACUUAAAGAAGGUGGAACAUUAAGUUCGCAGAAAGACCCAGAUAUUAGUAUAUUGCUUAGAAAAGCGAGAUCUCAUCAUACAGUUUUAUUUGGUCCAGCUUUAGACCAAUGGGCACCUGAAAUUUCUGAUCAAGAACUAUGGCAAGCAAUGUCUGAUACUUAUCCCGAAAUUGUAGCUCAUUGGGAUGAGGA
This 304-nucleotide ribosomal RNA is filed under the name Acinetobacter baumannii 73736. Its description in RNAcentral is "partial 23S ribosomal RNA". The record is from RNAcentral. Lineage: Bacteria; Pseudomonadati; Pseudomonadota; Gammaproteobacteria; Moraxellales; Moraxellaceae.